AGAGAGUGCGAGCGUUAAUCGGAAUUACUGGGCGUAAAGCGCGCGUAGGUGGAUAUUUAAGUCGGGUGUGAAAGCCCCAGGCUCAACCUGGGAAUUGCAUUCGAUACUGGGUAUCUAGAGUAUGGUAGAGGGAAGUGGAAUUUCCGGUGUAGCGGUGAAAUGCGUAGAUAUCGGAAGGAACACCAGUGGCGAAGGCGGCUUCCUGGACCAAUACUGACACUGAGGCGCGAAAGCGUGGGGGCAAACAGGGAUUAGAUACCCUGGUAGUCCACGCCGUCAACGAUGAGAACUAGACGUUGGGAUGUUUAUCAUCUUAGUGUCGAAGCUAACGCGUUAAGUUCUCCGCCUGGGGGAUACGGCCGCAAGGCUA
RNAcentral lists this ribosomal RNA (370 nucleotides) under uncultured organism. RNAcentral describes it as "partial 16S ribosomal RNA". It matches the Rfam family "Bacterial small subunit ribosomal RNA", at positions 527 to 896 of the family's 1533-position model. The record is from RNAcentral.